CACGUAGGGCGCAAGCGUUGUUCGGAUUUACUGGGCGUAAAGGGCGCGUAGGCGGUCAGCACAAGUCAGUUGUGAAAUCUCCGAGCUUAACUCGGAAAGGUCAACUGAUACUGUGCGACUAGAGUGCGGAAGGGGCAACUGGAAUUCUUGGUGUAGCGGUGAAAUGCGUAGAUAUCAAGAGGAACACCUGCGGCGAAGGCGGGUUGCUGGGCCGACACUGACGCUGAGGCGCGAAAGCGUGGGGAGCGAACAGG
RNAcentral lists this ribosomal RNA (254 nucleotides) under uncultured bacterium. RNAcentral's name for it is "partial 16S ribosomal RNA". It matches the Rfam family "Bacterial small subunit ribosomal RNA", at positions 524 to 776 of the family's 1533-position model. The record is from RNAcentral.